Non-coding RNA from Aegilops tauschii subsp. strangulata, 3975 nucleotides. NCBI's taxonomy places the organism in Eukaryota, Viridiplantae, Streptophyta, Magnoliopsida, Poales, Poaceae. The record is from RefSeq and is a predicted model, not a curated record.
UCUCUUUUUUUUUUUCCUUUUUUGCGUGGAGUCCGGCCUAUCUCCUUCCUCGAGCCCAGCGGCCGCCGUUUCCCGGUUUCUCCGUGCCGUGCCCAGCGGCCGCCGUUCUCUUCCUCCAUCGCCAGCGCACUACCUAGGUUCGGUCUCCCGUCAAAUUUGGCCACCUGUGCUCCGCGUACCUACAGCCCAUGCGUUGACCGACCAGUCUUCAGGCUCUCAUCGCAAGAUUAACGAUAGGAGGGCCCGAUAGAUCAGGAAGACAGCUCGGUGCAGCAGUAGCGUACGGCAUACCGGCGAGUCAAAGUGCUGAGAAUAAGAGGCUUCUCAGCACAUGUGAAGGGCGGAAAGGGGAUUGCUCUAUGUUGAUCUGCUGUAUAUGACGAACAAAUGAAGAACUAUCCUUGUGCAUUUGGAAUAAUCUGGCCACACGAGAGAUGGGAUAAUAAAGCUGCUAUAAAACUCAGGUUUCAGAAGUGGGAUACAUGGAAGACGAUAUCUAAGAAUAACCAGAUACAAAAACUGCCUGUAGUAUGUAAUGACACUGACAUUCCAAGUUUUCAGUCUUUACCAGAAUUUCAGUCGUAUAAGCUCAUACAUAACAAAUGGGUAUUAGGAAAAAUUCUGCUAUCUAACUGUGCGCAUGCCCUUAUUUGUGAAGCAGAAAAGCAUAAGACAGCAAGUGAGUAUAUGUGCUAAAAAAGACAUGUCAUCCAUUUUGUUUUCAUGUGAUUGCUUCACAUUUUUUGUAACAGUUCAUAUUAAAGUAAUUUUAGUGUUCCUUUGAAAUCUUAUUAUGAUCCAGUGUCAAAAAACAUAGUUUUGGUGCUGUUUUGCAUCUUGCAGAUCCAUGUUUUACACACAAAACAGUGGUCUGUUAUUCACAUUGCCAACCACAAAUGUGGGGUCAGAUUGUUUGGCUCAAGUUGGAAAGUUGUAGGAGACUGCGGCUGUAUCGUUCAGUGUAGUUUUGCCCUGCGUGAUAGCAGUGGCCGAGAAUGAUUGUAAGGAUUUAAGUUCUUCAUUUAAUAAAGAUAGAUUAAGCAACCAAGAUAGCAGGCGAGGGCAUGAUUUUUAUUCCUGAUACAUAGUACAACACGAAGAUAGAAAGCGGUUACAUUCUAAUUACCAACCAACUGGCUCGCUUUUUCGGCAAUGUCGGAGAGGAGAGGCCUAGCAGUCUUCUUCACUCCGCAAUCAGUCCCAGCAAAGAGCAUGCAACUUUUAAGGUUAGACAUGAUCUUUGAGGCCUUACACAAGGACUUCACACAUUCCUCCAAGUCCGCGGUGACAUGGUCACGCUGCAGCAUUAAUAUCGCAAUCUGGCCGCAAAGCUUCACGAUUCUUAGACAAUCAGCUCUGGCCUCACAGCUUUGUUCUACUAUAGCCUUGAGGUUCCGAACAAAUUCACCCUCUUGGAGGGGAAUCUCUCGAGCCACAUCGUUGAAAGUCAUUUGCACUGACACACAUCACCAAGGUAAGCGAUAACAGCUUCUUGGAAUUCCUUGUUUGGAUGGCAGUUGGUUUUCUUCAUCAUCACCCGGUCCAGAAAUUGCCUGGUUUUCUUCAUGUUUUUUGAUUGCGACAAUUGCCUUUACUGUCUCGGUCACUCUUGCAAGACACUGCAAUUCAUCCCGUGCAGAAUUUGUUCUUUGUUUUAUGGGGAGGUCUCGUUUACUGGCCAGUACUUGCGUGAGGACCUGCAACAAUAAUGUAAUUUGUGGAAAUACAAUCACUGCCCAGAUGAUAUACUGUUAAAAGAGUAUAUUCAAAACUAUUGUCAUGCUGGCUAAUUUUUUAUGUAAUUAGCAGAUGAACGGGUCUUUAAGCUUACUUUUGGCAGCAAGGCUUCCUUGAGAUAAUCCUUGUCCAAUGUACAGUGAGUGCACAGAUUCUCCAAGAUCUCCAAUGCUACUAUCCUAGGUUGGCCGACGAAUCAAAAGCCAGUUCUGUAGUAUUUCUAUGGCACGCAUCUGCAGUUCUCUGCUCACAUUGUUCCCCUGAUCAAGAAAGCUCUCCAGGUUGCUCAGUGCCUGCUCGCUGGAAGAGAUUUCAUGGGUCAGCCUUUUGCCAUUCCACUCGGGAACACUACAUUAGUGAUCUAAACGCUCUUAUAUUUCUUUACACAGGGAGUAGUCGUCAUAGUUUAUGCAGCAUCGUCAUGGCGCUCAAAGUAGAAAGGGUAUUGUGGUAUGGCCAAGUAAAGGUUCCAGUUCUAGUUUAGUCCUGUAUUUAGCUGUUUUAGCCUCCACUCUGGCCCUCAAAGUGGACUACACGAACCAAUGGAAAUUUAUCAAAAAAAUCACAAAAUUGGAAAAUUUUGGCUCAAAGUGGACUGCAUGUUAUUGGCCAGGGAAAGAUCCUUUCUUCAGUUUCAGUUUUGUUUGCUUUGGUUACUUUUUUGCCCGUUCUUUGCUUUGUGUACUCUGCUCUCUUUUUUUUUGAAGGGCCCGUGGUUGAACUUCUAUUACUAAGAAGAGACAUUAACAUUCCUGCCCUUUAUUGCCGCGACCCCGACUGUUCUUUGUUAGUGUGCGUGAGCUAUCUCAAGUUGAGUUGAUGAGCAUUUGAAGGAGCAGCAGCAGAAGAAGAGAUGUUAGUAGCGGAAAUCCAAUUUGGCUCUCGGGUCCAGAUGCUCCCGCAACCUGUUAGUAGUAGAUGGCAUUGCACGCCUGGGGCUGCAAGCCAAUGUUGGCUCGCCCAGAACAGCUCUGCUGUUGCUCCUGCUGUCCAGGAACAACACUGGAAGCUAGGUUGGCCGACGAAUCAAAAGCCAGUUCUGUAGUAUUUCUAUGGCACGCAUCUGCAGUUCUCUGCUCACAUUGUUCCCCUGAUCAAGAAAGCUCUCCAGGUUGCUCAGUGCCUGCUCGCUGGAAGAGAUUUCAUGGGUCAGCCUUUUGCCAUUCCACUCGGGAACACUACAUUAGUGAUCUAAACGCUCUUAUAUUUCUUUACACAGGGAGUAGUCGUCAUAGUUUAUGCAGCAUCGUCAUGGCGCUCAAAGUAGAAAGGGUAUUGUGGUAUGGCCAAGUAAAGGUUCCAGUUCUAGUUUAGUCCUGUAUUUAGCUGUUUUAGCCUCCACUCUGGCCCUCAAAGUGGACUACACGAACCAAUGGAAAUUUAUCAAAAAAAUCACAAAAUUGGAAAAUUUUGGCUCAAAGUGGACUGCAUGUUAUUGGCCAGGGAAAGAUCCUUUCUUCAGUUUCAGUUUUGUUUGCUUUGGUUACUUUUUUGCCCGUUCUUUGCUUUGUGUACUCUGCUCUCUUUUUUUUUGAAGGGCCCGUGGUUGAACUUCUAUUACUAAGAAGAGACAUUAACAUUCCUGCCCUUUAUUGCCGCGACCCCGACUGUUCUUUGUUAGUGUGCGUGAGCUAUCUCAAGUUGAGUUGAUGAGCAUUUGAAGGAGCAGCAGCAGAAGAAGAGAUGUUAGUAGCGGAAAUCCAAUUUGGCUCUCGGGUCCAGAUGCUCCCGCAACCUGUUAGUAGUAGAUGGCAUUGCACGCCUGGGGCUGCAAGCCAAUGUUGGCUCGCCCAGAACAGCUCUGCUGUUGCUCCUGCUGUCCAGGAACAACACUGGAAGCUAGGUUGGCCGACGAAUCAAAAGCCAGUUCUGUAGUAUUUCUAUGGCACGCAUCUGCAGUUCUCUGCUCACAUUGUUCCCCUGAUCAAGAAAGCUCUCCAGGUUGCUCAGUGCCUGCUCGCUGGAAGAGAUUUCAUGGGUCAGCCUUUUGCCAUUCCACUCGGGAACACUACAUUAGUGAUCUAAACGCUCUUAUAUUUCUUUACACAGGGAGUAGUCGUCAUAGUUUAUGCAGCAUCGUCAUGGCGCUCAAAGUAGAAAGGGUAUUGUGGUAUGGCCAAGUAAAGGUUCCAGUUCUAGUUUAGUCCUGUAUUUAGCUGUUUUAGCCUCCACUCUGGCCCUCAAAGUGGACUACACGAACCAAUGGAAAUUUAUCAAAAAAAUCACAAAAUUGGAAAA